GUAAGUAUGUAAAGGAAUUAUUACGCAAUUCUAGCUAUGUAUUAAGGAGAGCAAAUUUGAUAUAAAAAGGAAUAUAUAAUAUUUCUAUUUAAUAAGCUCUAGAAGAAAUUUAAUAAUAAACGAAGUGAAGUGAAAUAUCUCAGUAACUUCAGGAAAAGAAAUCAAAAGAGAUUCUAUGAAUAGCGUGAGCGAAAGUAGACAAGUCUAUUAAGUAAAAUGGUUUAUAAACUGUUUGAAUGGGGAACCUUCCUCAAAGACUAAAUAUGAUACAUAAGCGAUAGAUAAUGGGCCGUGAGGUAAAUGGAAGUUAGUAGUAAUUUUAUAAGCAGUUCGAAUAGACUUAGUUUAAGCUAAAGAACGUACCUUUUGCAUAAUGGGUCACCAAGUUAACAUUAGAUGCGAGAAAAUUUCGUAGUUAAACCAAACGUUAAAAUAACGAUAAGUGUCUAAAGUUAGACCCGAAGCCUAGUGAUUUUACUAUGAUCAGGAUUAUAAAAGUCCGAACGGGUGAUUGUGGCAAAAAUCUCCGAAGAAUCGUGGUAGGUAUAGUGAAAGACAAUACUGACUAGGAUAGCUGGUUUUCUGCGAAACCUAUAACAGUAGGCAAUUUAAGUAAAUAUCUUAGCAGGUACAGAAUUUAAUCUCAGGCAAUAUUUUAUUGCGCAAAUUGGGGAAUCGUGAAGAUUUUAUCAGUGAGUAUGUAGACUCGGAAUGGCAAAGAUAUAUCUUGAAUGAUCAGACAUAGAAUGAUAAGGUUGUAUGUCAAAAGGGAAACAGCCCAGAACAAGAGUUAAGGUUCCUAAAUUAUUAGUUAAGUGAAAUUAAGAAGGUUUUUAUUAAAGUCGACAAGGAGAUAGGCUUAGAAGCAGCCAUAAUUUUAUGACCUCGUAACAGAGCGCUUGUUAAGUUAUAAAAGCAUCGAAAAUAUAACGGAUCUAAACAAUAUACCGAAACCUUGUCCAUAAAUUAUUAAGGAUAUUUAAUAUUUGUGGGGUAGCAGAACGUUGAAUUAGGCUAAAUAGCAAGUUUGUAAAUUUGUUAUGUUAAUUCAAGUGAGAAUGGUGACAUGAGUAACGAAAAGAAUAGUAGAUUUAGGUACAUACAUUAAAUAAUAGAUCUUAUUUAAUGUUUACUAGAUCUGCUAUCCGCCUAAAGCUUAUGGUUAGAAUUAAGUAACGGCCUCUAAGCUUUUAAUCUAAAGAUUGAAGCGAUGAGAAAAUCUUUUAUUAUGAAAUAGACGACAUUUAUCUAGUGAAAAAUGUACAGGAAAAAUCGUAAUAUAGUAACCGUACCUAGAAACCGACUAUGGUAAGCUAGUAGAGAAUACGAAGGCGUAAUUGAGAUAACAAUCAUAAAGGAACUCGGCAAAUUGACUAUCGUAACUUCGGGAUAAGUAGGGCUCAUUAUCCUUGAUUAAUAUCAGGUAAAGAGGAAGAAACAUAAAAUAAUGUUGUACGACUGCUUAAUUAAAACACAGCACUUUGCUCAAAGAUUAAAAAUCUAUGUAUAAAGUGUGAUAUCUGCCCGGUGCCGGCUGGCUAACAGAGAUAAUUGAAUAUAUUACUAUUUGAUGUCAACGGAAGCCCCGGUUAAAGGCGGCCUUAACGUGAGGGUCCUAAGGUAGCGAAAUGCCUUGGCCGUUAAAUGCGGUCUUGCAUGAAUGGUGUAACGAUACAACAGCUGUCUCUAUGAUUGACUCAGUGAAAUUGGAAUAGCUGUGCAGAUACAGCUUACCUCUAGUUAGACGAGAAGACCCUAUGCAGCUUUACUGUCACUAAUUAUAGAUUUUGAUGAACAAUUUUCAGACUAAAAGGGAAUUGAUUAAAUAUUCAUGAGAAACCUUUAUUUUUUUCUUCAUUUGAAUGAAUUGAUAUACCUACAAACGUUAGUAUAUCAUCCUAGUUCAGCCUAGUUUCUUAGUUUACUAAGAAAUAGGUACCCUUGGAGAGGAACUAUUGCUAGGGGACAGUUUAUGUGGGGCACAGACCCUGUAAAGAGUAAACAGGUGUGUCUAAUAAUUAUUUUUAUUUUGUUUGCUAUUUUUUUAUAAAUCGUAUUUACUUUGAUAUAACUGUAACAUAGUAUUUCGUAAGAAAACUAUAUGAUUAUAUUUAUAUCGAAAAUUUAGGUAAGAUUUUGACUAUACUGAAAUUAGAGAUAAUUUAAAAUUUUAUGUAAUUUUUUACUAAAGUUUUAUAGUUAUUUAAACUUACGUUUAAAUAAUUAUGUUUUUAAUAUCUAAAAAGCUCAACGGCUUAAUCUUGCCUUACUGUUUGAUUAUCGACAAAUCUUACAGUUGCGUAAGCAGGGCAUAGGAUCACAAGAUGCAAUAAGGAAAGAUCUUGGAUUAUUGGAAAAGCUACGCUAGGGAUAACAGGCUAAUUUGCGCAAGAGUGUACAAAAUGAGUGCGCGGUUUGGCACCUCGAUGUCGGCUUAACUUAUCCUCAUGGAUGCAGAAACUAUGUAGGGUGCGACUGUUCGUCGAUUAAAAAGUUACAUGAGCUGGGUUAAAUACGUCGUGAGACAGUAUGGU
RNAcentral lists this ribosomal RNA (2534 nucleotides) under insect metagenome. RNAcentral describes it as "bacterial LSU rRNA". It matches the Rfam family "Bacterial large subunit ribosomal RNA". The record is from RNAcentral.